Molecule: ribosomal RNA, 229 nt
Filed under: uncultured bacterium
Lineage: Bacteria
Description: partial 16S ribosomal RNA
Rfam family: Bacterial small subunit ribosomal RNA
Source: RNAcentral
UCGGAAUUUGCCCAGUCGUGGGGGAUAACGUAGGGAAACUUACGCUAAUACCGCAUACGACACCGCGUUGAAAGAUGCGGGGUGAAAGCGGGGGAUCUGUAAGGACCUCGCGCGAGUGGAUGAGCCGAUGUCGGAUUAGCUAGUUGGCGGGGUAAAGGCCCACCAAGGCGACGAUCCGUAGCUGGUCUGAGAGGAUGAUCAGCCACACUGGGACUGAGACACGGCCCAG